Molecule: ribosomal RNA, 253 nt
Filed under: uncultured bacterium
Lineage: Bacteria
Description: partial 16S ribosomal RNA
Rfam family: Bacterial small subunit ribosomal RNA
Source: RNAcentral
UACGGAGGGGGCUAGCGUUGUUCGGAAUCACUGGGCUUAAAGGGCGCGUAGGCGGGCGAUCAAGUCGGUGGUGAAAUCCUACAGCUUAACUGUAGAACUGCCUCCGAUACUGGUUGUCUCGAGGAAGGUAGGGGCGUGCGGAACAGUUGGUGGAGCGGUGAAAUGCGUUGAUAUCAACUGGAACUCCGGUGGCGAAGGCGGCACGCUGGACCUUUUCUGACGCUGAGGCGCGAAAGCCAGGGGAGCAAACGGG